AGUUCCAACCAGCACGGUAUUCACGUGAACGACUGAAAGGGGCGGGUUUUUGGCCCUGGAGACCUCGUCACUAAUUCAUGCCUAUCCACUCCAUUCUCCUUCCAUAGCUAGAUCGCUAGAUUGCCGUUGUAAUAAACCCUAGAUCCCUUAUCUUCAACCACUAGAUCUUUCCUCUUUGAAAUACUAUCCUCCAAAUCACAAUGUAUCCGGAUGAUGCUCGAUCCUAUGAUGCAGGAGACGAUCAUCCAUCCCUGGAUGCUUCUGAGAUACCCAAUUUUUUUCAGAACCAUGGUGCCCCCUGUUGCUCAAAUCUAUAAUGUUUUUGAAUCUGGCACGCCAUCCUUGUUUGCUGCUGGUGUUGUGAUCUCACCUUAUGGCCACAUCCUUACUAUCAACACUAACACCGGCACCGACACUAACAGAACUGGAAUGCAUGUUUGUUUUAAAGAAGAUGAUGAAGGAUUCAAGGCGGCUAUCUGUCAUGAAUAUGCUGAUCAUCCUUUUUUAUUGCUCAAGUUGGAGUCAGAGAGGGACUUUCCCUAUGCACGCCUCGCUACCUCUGCAGCUGUACAAGGCAGUGAGAUUCAUUUUAUUCAUGUCUUUUUUAAUAAUGUGUAUUCAUGUCUUUUUUAAUAAUGUGUGUCGAUAUCUCAAAGGAAUGGUUUCAUGUCCAAACAGAAACUUGUCUUCUUUUAUCAUGAGUAAAGAAGUGCAACAAAUAGUUGCACCUAGCAUUAAGCAUGCUUAUCACACGAGAGUUCCGAUACAAUUUGUGGAGGUAGGAGCUAUUUAUGGCAGCGAGCAUGUGUGUGGCACCCAUUCUUUAGCAAGAAUGGGACUGUUGUUGGCAUCUACUGUUUCAGUGCCUUUAAUCUAGCUUAUGGAUUUAAUCUGGAUUACCUGGAGACGAUGUCUCCUGCUUGGGAGGAAAAGAUAACCGAGUGUCAACCAGCAAGGCGGACCAAACUUAACUCCGACGGAUUGGCCUCCGGUUCUCAAUCUGAGGGGCAGCGUGCUAUGUAAGCUGCGGCGGCUGCUGUGGUAAGCUGCGGCGGGCGGCGGGUGACCAAUUCAUCAUAUUGCUACCAAAACACCUACUUUUAGUAUGACUGGUCUCUGAUGCUUGUUAUUGAUGUUCAUUUCCUGUUCCAUCCAUGCCUUUUCUUUUGUAUUGCAAUACCCACCCCCAAAACCCCCUUUUCUGUCCUGGCGUCUGUGUUACUGGUCUUUAGUUUAUGUUUAACUGGCAGCAAAUUGCAUUUUAACCCCUUUCUGGUUUGGGAGGGUAUUCCUGAAAAACCAGAAACUAUUGAGCCAUUGUUACUGAAAAACUGGACAUGACUGUCCUACAGGCUUCAAUUUACAAGCAAAACGAUUUCGGGUCCUAGAGACUUCCAAUUUACAAGUAUAAUACAAUACAGUUCAUCCCUGUAAAGUGUACACAUGCCAACUGACUUGAGAACAAUUCCAGCUCCCACGCUAAUAGGGCAGAGUGGUUAUGGAACUGAUAAGCAAAGGAGGGAACGAGUAAAGGGGGGGAACUUGAAGCAUUAUUAAUCCAAAGAGAACCUCUGCGUUUGUUAUAUAAGAUAACAACAACAAACAACAAUGAAAAUGGCAGGUACAUAUAUAUAUUUAUAGCUACAGAGGGAGGAUAUUCCAAUGCUCCCCCACUACUACAGCUUCGAAACCAUGACCUUCAACCACGCUACUCCAUUACAAUUGACACCAAACACCAGGAACCAUCCGGUCUAAAUG
Molecule: long non-coding RNA, 1758 nt
Organism: Populus euphratica (Euphrates poplar)
Lineage: Eukaryota; Viridiplantae; Streptophyta; Magnoliopsida; Malpighiales; Salicaceae
Exons: 2
Source: RefSeq, a predicted model, not a curated record